RNAcentral lists this non-coding RNA (112 nucleotides) under uncultured Cytobacillus sp. RNAcentral describes it as "SAM riboswitch (S box leader)". It matches the Rfam family "SAM riboswitch aptamer (S box leader)". Rfam says of the family: The SAM riboswitch is found upstream of a number of genes which code for proteins involved in methionine or cysteine biosynthesis in Gram-positive bacteria. The SAM riboswitch acts at the level of transcription termination control. The predicted structure consists of a complex stem-loop region followed by a single stem loop terminator region. Lineage: Bacteria; Bacillati; Bacillota; Bacilli; Caryophanales; Bacillaceae. The record is from RNAcentral.
UCUUAUCACGAGAGGUUGAGGGAAAGGCCCGAUGACACCUCAGCAACCAUCAAUAGUAAAUCGCUAUUGAAAAGGUGCUAAUUCCUACAAGCUAUGUGCUUGAAAGAUGAGA